RNAcentral lists this ribosomal RNA (253 nucleotides) under uncultured bacterium. RNAcentral's name for it is "partial 16S ribosomal RNA". It matches the Rfam family "Bacterial small subunit ribosomal RNA", at positions 524 to 776 of the family's 1533-position model. The record is from RNAcentral.
UACGUAGGGUGCGAGCGUUAAUCGGAAUUACUGGGCGUAAAGGGUGCGCAGGCGGCGUCGCAAGUCAGGCGUGAAAUCCCCGGGCUUAACCUGGGAACUGCACUUGAAACUACGAUGCUGGAGUAUGGCAGAGGGAGGUGGAAUUCCACGUGUAGCGGUGAAAUGCGUAGAGAUGUGGAGGAACACCGAUGGCGAAGGCAAUCCCCUGGACCUGUACUGACGCUCAUGCACGAAAGCGUGGGGAGCAAACAGG